AGCGGCGGACGGGUGAGUAACACGUGGGUAACCUGCCUGUAAGACUGGGAUAACUCCGGGAAACCGGGGCUAAUACCGGAUGCUUGAUUGAACCGCAUGGUUCAAUUAUAAAAGGUGGCUUCAGCUACCACUUACAGAUGGACCCGCGGCGCAUUAGCUAGUUGGUGAGGUAACGGCUCACCAAGGCAACGAUGCGUAGCCGACCUGAGAGGGUGAUCGGCCACACUGGGACUGAGACACGGCCCAGACUCCUACGGGAGGCAGCAGUAGGGAAUCUUCCGCAAUGGACGAAAGUCUGACGGAGCAACGCCGCGUGAGUGAUGAAGGUUUUCGGAUCGUAAAACUCUGUUGUUAGGGAAGAACAAGUACCGUUCGAAUAGGGCGGUACCUUGACGGUACCUAACCAGAAAGCCACGGCUAACUACGUGCCAGCAGCCGCGGUAAUACGUAGGUGGCAAGCGUUGUCCGGAAUUAUUGGGCGUAAAGCGCGCGCAGGCGGUUUCUUAAGUCUGAUGUGAAAGCCCCCGGCUCAACCGGGGAGGGUCAUUGGAAACUGGGGAACUUGAGUGCAGAAGAGGAGAGUGGAAUUCCACGUGUAGCGGUGAAAUGCGUAGAGAUGUGGAGGAACACCAGUGGCGAAGGCGACUCUCUGGUCUGUAACUGACGCUGAGGCGCGAAAGCGUGGGGAGCGAACAGGAUUAGAUACCCUGGUAGUCCACGCCGUAAACGAUGAGUGCUAAGUGUUAGAGGGUUUCCGCCCUUUAGUGCUGCAGCAAACGCAUUAAGCACUCCGCC
This 795-nucleotide ribosomal RNA is filed under the name Bacillus sp. M_Sw_oHS_02/11_7_1(2). RNAcentral's name for it is "bacterial SSU rRNA". It matches the Rfam family "Bacterial small subunit ribosomal RNA", at positions 94 to 873 of the family's 1533-position model. The record is from RNAcentral. Lineage: Bacteria; Bacillati; Bacillota; Bacilli; Caryophanales; Bacillaceae.